Molecule: long non-coding RNA, 1203 nt
Organism: Tachysurus fulvidraco (yellow catfish)
Lineage: Eukaryota; Metazoa; Chordata; Actinopteri; Siluriformes; Bagridae
Exons: 3
Source: RefSeq, a predicted model, not a curated record
CACAUCCUCCCGUGUGUUCUGUGGUGAAGUUGAGUGACUCUUUACCCCCAACCAGGAACAAUAUCUAACCGUUCACUCUUUGGCCCAGCCAAAGCCCAAUCUGGUAGUGAUUGAAAGGAUGACAUCAUCAGAGAGCAUGCUGUUGGAAGGAGAAUGUGGCAGGGAGCGCUGUGCGCGUGUGUGCUUAGGGACAAGGAUAAAGCCAAGAGGCCAGCAACCCACGAACUCCCUUGCAACAUCUCUGUAAAGCAGGAAGUGGAAGGUCCUCAGCAUACUAGGGAGUAUACAGCACAUUGUCGCCUGGAGACAUACCAGAUCACUCACUUAUCGGUCACUUACUAUACAUCUCUAAUUAAGUGCUGCAAUUUGAAUGCAGUGCCACUGGCUGUCCUCAUUUUACUGUAUACAACUUCGAGAUUUACAAAUUUAACUGCUUGUGUACAGCUUGAUAAAUGAGACUAAGUAAAAAAAAAUAAAAAUAAAAAAGAACAUAUUAUAAAGUGAAAAGAAUCAUGGCACAAUAACAUGGGAUUUAUUGAUAGGUUUGUUUUGAUUUGAACUUGAGAAGAACAGAAAACAAUUUGGUUUGAAACAGCUGACAAAAAUGGUUGGGAACCCAUGCGGAGGAGCACCAGAGCCACCCAGCUGUUGGCAGAUGAUAGCGUCAAGCUGUGUGUUUCUUCAGUGCCACUUUAACUCCUAAUAUGGAUAGUAUUCAUUCUAUCAUGUACACCAAUCUCUCUCUCUCUCUCUCUCUCUCUCUCUCUCUCUCUCUCUCUCUCUCUCUCUCUCUCUCUCUCUCUCUCUCUCUCUCUCUCUCUCUCUCUCUCUCUCUCUCUCUGUAUUCUGUGGACACUGACCAAUUUCACCUACCCUGUUAUUCUCAGUAGUCUUGUUAAAGUGUAACAUUAUCCUCAUCCUUCUUUCCCUGACCUGCCUGACACUAAUCUUUCUUUACUAAGCUUUUUCCAGAGCAGACUGAGUGAGUAAACUAGAUUUAAGAUGUAAAACAACACCAUUCAUAAAAACACAUAGAACUUCAAAUCUCUAAGUAAGCCCUGGCUUACUUUAGUUAUCUCCUGUAGUGAAGCAGUGAACAUCAGCAUAUGUGUAUGUGUGGAUUAUUUGCUAUCUUGGACCUUUACUGAACACUGUACAUGUUUUCCCUUGUUUCCUGUAAAGAAAAAGUAAAGGGAAAUGGGA